RNAcentral lists this ribosomal RNA (434 nucleotides) under bacterium enrichment culture clone ALO1_GLFRUDD03GJFHN. RNAcentral's name for it is "bacterial SSU rRNA". It matches the Rfam family "Bacterial small subunit ribosomal RNA", at positions 9 to 442 of the family's 1533-position model. The record is from RNAcentral.
GAGUUUGAUCGUGGCUCAGAUUGAACGCUGGCGGCAUGCCUUACACAUGCAAGUCGAACGGCAGCACGGGAGCUUGCUCCUGGUGGCGAGUGGCGAGCGGGUGAGUAAUGCAUCGGAACGUAUCCUGGAGUGGGGGAUAACGUAGCGAAAGUUACGCUAAUACCGCAUAUUCUGUGAGCAGGAAAGCGGGGGACCUUCGGGCCUCGCGCUCUUGGAGCGGCCGAUGUCGGAUUAGCUAGUUGGUGAGGUAAAGGCGUCACCAAGGCGACGAUCCGUAGCAGGUCUGAGAGGAUGAUCUGCCACACUGGAACUGAGACACGGUCCAGACUCCUACGGGAGGCAGCAGUGGGGAAUUUUGGACAAUGGGGGCAACCCUGAUCCAGCCAUGCCGCGUGAGUGAAGAAGGCCUGGUUCGUAAGUACGUCUUUACGUCG